RNAcentral lists this long non-coding RNA (696 nucleotides) under Durio zibethinus. RNAcentral's name for it is "long non-coding RNA (DZIB_LNC000135)". The record is from RNAcentral. Lineage: Eukaryota; Viridiplantae; Streptophyta; Magnoliopsida; Malvales; Malvaceae.
AAAAACCGGUGAAAAAGCCAACCGGGGGGGGGGGGAUUAGCGGGUUCGACGACUGUUAUAGGGAAGCCCUAGAAAGGUCCGAAACGCAACGCCAUAUGCCAGGUCCAGUAGCGAAAGGUCCAGAGUGCUUCUUUCUAUCUCAUUGCCUGUAAUUAUUAAUUAUUAAAUUAGUAAUCGGGAAAAAGAAAAAGAAUCGGCGUGUUUUUUUUUUUUUUUAAUAAAUGAAGAAAUUUGGGUACUAUUGUUUAUUCGUACUUUCCAUGGUGAUGAGCGAGUAGCGACAGGAAUUUUGGUUUUGCUGCCCAGGCUGAGUUUUGAUAGGUCUAAGGACUUUGGACGGACGUACUGAAUGUUAAAACGGUUGCGUACUCAAGAUUUGUGCUUGGGCUGAAUUUGUUUAAUAGCCAAAUCUUUAGGCCCAAAUUUUCCCCCAAAUGAUCUACACGUUUGCCCUAAUCCUCUUUUCUUUCCCGCCAUCCUACUCUCUGCUAUUCAGCGAAAAGUUAGGGUUCAAGUUGAAAGAUUUUGAAGCAAAGAUGACAAAAGAGGAAGCUGAAAACGGAAGAGAUGGCAUGGUAAUUGAUGGACCUGAGCAAGCAAACGCCGUCCCUGAUGGAUUCAACUUUAACUAUCUCAGAAUCUAGUAUCGUAAGAAUUCUCAUUUUUCUCUUUGAUAGUUUUUUAAAGGAAAUAUAU